Molecule: transfer RNA, 72 nt
Rfam family: tRNA
About the family: Transfer RNA (tRNA) molecules are approximately 80 nucleotides in length. Their secondary structure includes four short double-helical elements and three loops (D, anti-codon, and T loops).
Source: Rfam
ACUCGUAUAGCUCAGUGGUAGAGCACUCAACUUAUAAUUGAGGGGUCGAUUGUUCAAGCCAAUCUACGAGUA